AAUACCCCGUAGGAUAAGGGUUAAGCCUGCUGGUGCGGAUGGGAUCUUUCCCGCCUGUUUUGUUUGUUUCAGUAAAAAACAAGCACCCCAUAAAUAAU
This 98-nucleotide non-coding RNA is filed under the name unclassified sequences. RNAcentral describes it as "wcaG RNA". It matches the Rfam family "wcaG RNA". The record is from RNAcentral.